RNAcentral lists this ribosomal RNA (497 nucleotides) under uncultured bacterium. Its description in RNAcentral is "partial 16S ribosomal RNA". It matches the Rfam family "Bacterial small subunit ribosomal RNA", at positions 28 to 507 of the family's 1533-position model. The record is from RNAcentral.
GAUGAACGCUGGCGGCGUGCCUAAUACAUGCGAGUCGAGCGAACGGACGAGAAGCUUGCUUCUCUGAUGUUAGCGGCGGACGGGUGAGUAACACGUGGAUAACCUACCUAUAAGACUGGGAUAACUUCGGGAAACCGGAGCUAAUACCGGAUAAUAUUUUGAACCGCAUGGUUCAAAAGUGAAAGACGGUCUUGCUGUCACUUAUAGAUGGAUCCGCGCUGCAUUAGCUAGUUGGUAAGGUAACGGCUUACCAAGGCAACGAUGCAUAGCCGACCUGAGAGGGUGAUCAGCCACACUGGAACUGAGACACGGUCCAGACUCCUACGGGAGGCAGCAGUAGGGAAUCUUCCGCAAUGGGCGAAAGCCUGACGGAGCAACGCCGCGUGAGUGAUGAAGGUCUUCGGAUCGUAAAACUCUGUUAUUAGGGAAGAACAUAUGUGUAAGUAACUGUGCACAUCUUGACGGUACCUAAUCAGAAAGCCACGGCUAACUACGUG